UACGUAGGUGACAAGCGUUGUCCGGAUUUACUGGGCGUAAAGAGCGCGCAGGCGGUCGAUCAAGUCGAGUGUGAAAGCCCCCGGCUCAACUGGGGAGGGUCAUUCGAUACUGAUCGACUCGAAGGCAGGAGAGGGUAGUGGAAUUCCCGGUGUAGUGGUGAAAUGCGUAGAUAUCGGGAGGAACACCAGUGGCGAAGGCGACUACCUGGCCUAUUCUUGACGCUGAGGCGCGAAAGCUAGGGGAGCAAACGGG
RNAcentral lists this ribosomal RNA (253 nucleotides) under uncultured bacterium. Its description in RNAcentral is "partial 16S ribosomal RNA". It matches the Rfam family "Bacterial small subunit ribosomal RNA", at positions 524 to 776 of the family's 1533-position model. The record is from RNAcentral.